GGGAAGCAAGCGAGCAUUUGGCCUCCCCUGAUAAAAAAAAGCAUAAAUAAAUAGCAAUCAGCGUUGAGCUAAACUGAGUGAGCUCAACUGGGAAUGGUCCUGGCGCACCAAAAACAAGUGACAAGGGAAGCGAGUUUGGAUUUGGCUUCACUCCUAUCACAGAGAAACACGUUGUCGAUAGAAACAACUUGAAUUGUUGAAUCUCGUUGUGUUGUUGUCCUCUGGUGACUAGCUAGCUAGCUCAAAUUAUGCCUUUACUAAAUUAGCCAUGGAUGGAGAUAGAGAUUUGGACUUGUGGUUUUAAUUAAUUAUCUGUACUGGCCAAUGAUUAUAACGGCGAUUCGGAUCCAACCAUAAAAUACAUUGUGCCCCUGGACUGAGAGGAUGGAAGUUCAAUAUAUAGUUAGAUGUAGAAGGCUAAUGUUAACUAGCUAACGUUGCCCAUGAAAGGAAGUUAGGCUAGCGAGCAAGCAUUUUAGCCAGGUAGCCUAGGACAACAAAAAAUAAAAGCAUGUACUAUAUGACAGUCAUAAAGAUGGCAUUGGCGUUUCUCUACAAGUAGGGGAUCCUCUGAACACAUCAACAUCUGCCUCCCAUGAAGCAUCGUUACCUAUCGCUCCACAAAAGCCACAGCCCUACUACUUCAAGGUCUCAGAGUAUGUGAUGCACUGGUAACUAGCUAACCAUUUCACACCAGUUAUACUUACCCCCUUUGACCUCCUCCUUCUCCUUCUAACAGUGUUGCUUCCGAGAGAGAGAGAGAGAGAGAGAGAUAAUUGCAUUGUACUUUAUUGUCUGAAAUGCUGUACCACUACACUGCUUUGGCAAAAUCUACAAAUUGUAUUUCAUGCCAAUAAAGCAAUCUGAAUUUCAGAGGAAAGCUUAGCCCUUUCUACCCUAUACCCAGUAUGCCCUACCUUACCCACAGAGAGAGACUACACCAGACAAUUCGGCCCUACCUAACCCAGAGACUAACCCAGCCCAGUCCACCCUAGCUCACCCAGAGAGAGACUAUAUCCCAGCCCAGUCCACCCUAGCUCACCCAGAGAGAGACUAUAGCCCAGCCCAGUCCACCCUAGCUCACCCAGAGAGAGACUAUAGCCCAGUCCAGUCCACCCUAGCUCACCCAGAGAGAGACUAUAGCCCAGCCCAGUCCACCCUAGAUCACCCAGAGAGAGACUAUAGCCCGCCCAGUCCACCCUAGCUCACCCAGAGAGAGACUAUAGCCCAGUCCAGUCCACCCUAGCUCACCCAGAGAGAGACUAUAGCCCAGCCCAGUCCACCCUAGCUCACCCAGAGAGAGACUAUAGCCCAGUCCAGUCCACCCUAGCUCACCCACCCAGAGAGAGACUAUAGCCCAGCCCAGUCUACCCUAGCUCACCCAGAGAGACUAUAGCCCAGCCCAGUCUACCCUAGCUCACCCAGCGAGAGACUAUAGCCCAGCCUAGUCCACCCAGAGAGAGACUAUAGCCCAGCCCAGUCUACCCUAGCUCACCCAGAGAGAGACUAUAGCCCAGCCCAGUCUACCCUAGCUCACCCAGAGAGAGACUAUAGCCCAGCCCAGUCCACCCAGAGAGAGACUAUAGCCCAGCCCAGUCCACCCUAGCUCACCCAGAGAGAGACUAUAGCCCAG
Molecule: long non-coding RNA, 1633 nt
Filed under: Salmo salar (Atlantic salmon)
Lineage: Eukaryota; Metazoa; Chordata; Actinopteri; Salmoniformes; Salmonidae
Description: lncRNA (ENSSSAG00000099185.1)
Source: RNAcentral